Molecule: ribosomal RNA, 450 nt
Filed under: uncultured bacterium
Lineage: Bacteria
Description: bacterial SSU rRNA
Rfam family: Bacterial small subunit ribosomal RNA
Source: RNAcentral
GUGGGGAAUAUUGGACAAUGGGCGAAAGCCUGAUCCAGCCAUGCCGCGUGUGUGAAGAAGGUCUUCGGAUUGUAAAGCACUUUAAGUUGGGAGGAAGGGCAGUAAGUUAAUACCUUGCUGUUUUGACGUUACCGACAGAAUAAGCACCGGCUAACUUCGUGCCAGCAGCCGCGGUAAUACGAAGGGUGCAAGCGUUAAUCGGAAUUACUGGGCGUAAAGCGCGCGUAGGUGGUUUUGUAAGUUGGAGGUGAAAGCCCAGGGCUCAACCUGGGAACUGCCUCCAAAACUGCAUGACUAGAGUACGGUAGAGGGUAGUGGAAUUUCCUGUGUAGCGGUGAAAUGCGUAGAUAUAGGAAGGAACACCAGUGGCGAAGGCGACUACCUGGACUGAUACUGACACUGAGGUGCGAAAGCGUGGGGAGCAAACAGGAUUAGAAACCCGUGUAGUCC